RNAcentral lists this ribosomal RNA (497 nucleotides) under uncultured bacterium. RNAcentral's name for it is "partial 16S ribosomal RNA". It matches the Rfam family "Bacterial small subunit ribosomal RNA", at positions 28 to 507 of the family's 1533-position model. The record is from RNAcentral.
GAUGAACGCUGGCGGCGUGCCUAAUACAUGCAAGUCGAGCGAACAGACGAGGAGCUUGCUCCUUUGGCGUUAGCGGCGGACGGGUGAGUAACACGUAGGUAACCUACCUAUAAGACUGGGAUAACUUCGGGAAACCGGAGCUAAUACCGGAUAAUAUUUCGAACCGCAUGGUUCGAAAGUGAAAGAUGGCUUUGCUAUCACUUAUAGAUGGACCUGCGCCGUAUUAGCUAGUUGGUAAGGUAACGGCUUACCAAGGCAACGAUACGUAGCCGACCUGAGAGGGUGAUCGGCCACACUGGAACUGAGACACGGUCCAGACUCCUACGGGAGGCAGCAGUAGGGAAUCUUCCGCAAUGGGCGAAAGCCUGACGGAGCAACGCCGCGUGAGUGAUGAAGGUCUUCGGAUCGUAAAACUCUGUUAUUAGGGAAGAACAAACGUGUAAGUAACUGUGCACGUCUUGACGGUACCUAAUCAGAAAGCCACGGCUAACUACGUG